UCACAUUCUUUAAGGGAUUUCAGAGGGCACAGCUGUGGCCACCUUUUCACCUUAUCAGUGAUAUCCUCAAAUUGGAGCUUAGAACAUCUACAGCCAUACCCUUGGGGAUGAUCACACUGUUGUCUGAUGCCUUGACUGAAGAAAUCCAGAAGAGGAAGUAGUGAGGCCAGCUUGAAGACCGUUUCCAGUAUCAGAGACCAAGAAAAUCUCUAUGCAAAGACCAAGUUCACUAAAACAGAUUUGCAGGGCCUGAAUAUCUUCUGAAAUGUGACAGAGAGAUUUAUUGAAGAGUCUGCAUCAGAUGACAGAAAAGGAGUUUGAAGCUCUCAUCUUGCAGCAGCAACCUCAAGUUGAAUAACUACCUACAUGUAAACAUAUCUCCACAGAUG
Ochotona princeps (American pika) is the source of this 389-nucleotide long non-coding RNA. RefSeq lists it as uncharacterized. The transcript has 4 exons. The record is from RefSeq and is a predicted model, not a curated record. Lineage: Eukaryota; Metazoa; Chordata; Mammalia; Lagomorpha; Ochotonidae.